This 2923-nucleotide ribosomal RNA is filed under the name Klebsiella pneumoniae. RNAcentral describes it as "bacterial LSU rRNA". It matches the Rfam family "Bacterial large subunit ribosomal RNA". The record is from RNAcentral. Lineage: Bacteria; Pseudomonadati; Pseudomonadota; Gammaproteobacteria; Enterobacterales; Enterobacteriaceae.
GGGUUGUGAGGUUAAGCGACUAAGCGUACACGGUGGAUGCCCUGGCAGUCAGAGGCGAUGAAGGACGUGCUAAUCUGCGAAAAGCGUCGGUAAGGUGAUAUGAACCGUUAUAACCGGCGAUGUCCGAAUGGGGAAACCCAGUGUGAUUCGUCACACUAUCGUUAACUGAAUACAUAGGUUAACGAGGCGAACCGGGGGAACUGAAACAUCUAAGUACCCCGAGGAAAAGAAAUCAACCGAGAUUCCCCCAGUAGCGGCGAGCGAACGGGGAGCAGCCCAGAGUCUGAAUCAGCUUGUGUGUUAGUGGAACGGUCUGGAAAGUCCGACGGUACAGGGUGAUAGUCCCGUACACCAAAAUGCACAGGUUGUGAACUCGAAGAGUAGGGCGGGACACGUGGUAUCCUGUCUGAAUAUGGGGGGACCAUCCUCCAAGGCUAAAUACUCCUGACUGACCGAUAGUGAACCAGUACCGUGAGGGAAAGGCGAAAAGAACCCCGGCGAGGGGAGUGAAAAAGAACCUGAAACCGUGUACGUACAAGCAGUGGGAGCACCUUCGGGUGUGACUGCGUACCUUUUGUAUAAUGGGUCAGCGACUUAUAUUCUGUAGCAAGGUUAACCGUAUAGGGGAGCCGCAGGGAAACCGAGUCUUAACUGGGCGUUAAGUUGCAGGGUAUAGACCCGAAACCCGGUGAUCUAGCCAUGGGCAGGUUGAAGGUUGGGUAACACUAACUGGAGGACCGAACCGACUAAUGUUGAAAAAUUAGCGGAUGACUUGUGGCUGGGGGUGAAAGGCCAAUCAAACCGGGAGAUAGCUGGUUCUCCCCGAAAGCUAUUUAGGUAGCGCCUCGUGAACUCAUCUUCGGGGGUAGAGCACUGUUUCGGCUAGGGGGUCAUCCCGACUUACCAACCCGAUGCAAACUACGAAUACCGAAGAAUGUUAUCACGGGAGACACACGGCGGGUGCUAACGUCCGUCGUGAAGAGGGAAACAACCCAGACCGCCAGCUAAGGUCCCAAAGUCAUGGUUAAGUGGGAAACGAUGUGGGAAGGCACAGACAGCCAGGAUGUUGGCUUAGAAGCAGCCAUCAUUUAAAGAAAGCGUAAUAGCUCACUGGUCGAGUCGGCCUGCGCGGAAGAUGUAACGGGGCUAAACCAUGCACCGAAGCUGCGGCAGCGACACUAUGUGUUGUUGGGUAGGGGAGCGUUCUGUAAGCCUGCGAAGGUGACCUGUGAGGGUUGCUGGAGGUAUCAGAAGUGCGAAUGCUGACAUAAGUAACGAUAAAGCGGGUGAAAAGCCCGCUCGCCGGAAGACCAAGGGUUCCUGUCCAACGUUAAUCGGGGCAGGGUGAGUCGACCCCUAAGGCGAGGCCGAAAGGCGUAGUCGAUGGGAAACAGGUUAAUAUUCCUGUACUUGGUGUUACUGCGAAGGGGGGACGGAGAAGGCUAUGUUAGCCGGGCGACGGUUGUCCCGGUUUAAGCAUGUAGGCUGGUUAUCCAGGCAAAUCCGGAUAAUCAAGGCUGAGGUGUGAUGACGAGGCACUACGGUGCUGAAGUAACAAAUGCCCUGCUUCCAGGAAAAGCCUCUAAGCAUCAGGUAACAUCAAAUCGUACCCCAAACCGACACAGGUGGUCAGGUAGAGAAUACCAAGGCGCUUGAGAGAACUCGGGUGAAGGAACUAGGCAAAAUGGUGCCGUAACUUCGGGAGAAGGCACGCUGGUGUGUAGGUGAAGCCCCUGCGGGUGGAGCUGAGACCAGUCGAAGAUACCAGCUGGCUGCAACUGUUUAUUAAAAACACAGCACUGUGCAAACACGAAAGUGGACGUAUACGGUGUGACGCCUGCCCGGUGCCGGAAGGUUAAUUGAUGGGGUUAUCCGUAAGGAGAAGCUCUUGAUCGAAGCCCCGGUAAACGGCGGCCGUAACUAUAACGGUCCUAAGGUAGCGAAAUUCCUUGUCGGGUAAGUUCCGACCUGCACGAAUGGCGUAAUGAUGGCCAGGCUGUCUCCACCCGAGACUCAGUGAAAUUGAACUCGCUGUGAAGAUGCAGUGUACCCGCGGCAAGACGGAAAGACCCCGUGAACCUUUACUAUAGCUUGACACUGAACAUUGAGCCUUGAUGUGUAGGAUAGGUGGGAGGCUUUGAAGCGUGGACGCCAGUCUGCGUGGAGCCAACCUUGAAAUACCACCCUUUAAUGUUUGAUGUUCUAACGUUGGCCCCUUACCGGGGUUGCGGACAGUGUCUGGUGGGUAGUUUGACUGGGGCGGUCUCCUCCCAAAGCGUAACGGAGGAGCACGAAGGUUAGCUAAUCCUGGUCGGACAUCAGGAGGUUAGUGCAAUGGCAUAAGCUAGCUUGACUGCGAGCGUGACGGCGCGAGCAGGUGCGAAAGCAGGUCAUAGUGAUCCGGUGGUUCUGAAUGGAAGGGCCAUCGCUCAACGGAUAAAAGGUACUCCGGGGAUAACAGGCUGAUACCGCCCAAGAGUUCAUAUCGACGGCGGUGUUUGGCACCUCGAUGUCGGCUCAUCACAUCCUGGGGCUGAAGUAGGUCCCAAGGGUAUGGCUGUUCGCCAUUUAAAGUGGUACGCGAGCUGGGUUUAGAACGUCGUGAGACAGUUCGGUCCCUAUCUGCCGUGGGCGCUGGAGAAUUGAGGGGGGCUGCUCCUAGUACGAGAGGACCGGAGUGGACGCAUCACUGGUGUUCGGGUUGUCAUGCCAAUGGCACUGCCCGGUAGCUAAAUGCGGAAGAGAUAAGUGCUGAAAGCAUCUAAGCACGAAACUUGCCCCGAGAUGAGUUCUCCCUGAGACUUUAAGUCUCCUGAAGGAACGUUGAAGACGACGACGUUGAUAGGCCGGGUGUGUAAGCGCAGCGAUGCGUUGAGCUAACCGGUACUAAUGAACCGUGAGGCUUAACCUUACAACGCCGAAG